Molecule: transfer RNA, 73 nt
Filed under: Jatrophihabitans telluris
Lineage: Bacteria; Bacillati; Actinomycetota; Actinomycetes; Jatrophihabitantales; Jatrophihabitantaceae
Description: tRNA-Arg
Rfam family: tRNA
About the family: Transfer RNA (tRNA) molecules are approximately 80 nucleotides in length. Their secondary structure includes four short double-helical elements and three loops (D, anti-codon, and T loops). Further hydrogen bonds mediate the characteristic L-shaped molecular structure. tRNAs have two regions of fundamental functional importance: the anti-codon, which is responsible for specific mRNA codon recognition, and the 3' end, to which the tRNAs corresponding amino acid is attached (by aminoacyl-tRNA synthetases). tRNAs cope with the degeneracy of the genetic code in two manners: having more than one tRNA (with a specific anti-codon) for a particular amino acid; and 'wobble' base-pairing, i.e. permitting non-standard base-pairing at the 3rd anti-codon position.
Source: RNAcentral
GCCCCCAUAGCUCAGCGGAUAGAGCAGCCGCCUUCUAAGCGGUUGGUCGCAGGUUCGAUCCCUGCUGGGGGCA